RNAcentral lists this ribosomal RNA (405 nucleotides) under Bradyrhizobium sp. RNAcentral's name for it is "bacterial SSU rRNA". It matches the Rfam family "Bacterial small subunit ribosomal RNA", at positions 873 to 1275 of the family's 1533-position model. The record is from RNAcentral. Lineage: Bacteria; Pseudomonadati; Pseudomonadota; Alphaproteobacteria; Hyphomicrobiales; Nitrobacteraceae.
CUGGGGAGUACGGUCGCAAGAUUAAAACUCAAAGGAAUUGACGGGGGCCCGCACAAGCGGUGGAGCAUGUGGUUUAAUUCGACGCAACGCGCAGAACCUUACCAGCCCUUGACAUGUCCAGGACCGGUCGCAGAGAUGUGACCUUCUCUUCGGAGCCUGGAACACAGGUGCUGCAUGAACUGUCGUCAGCUCGUGUCGUGAGAUGUUGGGUUAAGUCCCGCAACGAGCGCAACCCCCGUCCUUAGUUGCUACCAUUUAGUUGAGCACUCUAAGGAGACUGCCGGUGAUAAGCCGCGAGGAAGGUGGGGAUGACGUCAAGUCCUCAUGGCCCUUACGGGCUGGGCUACACACGUGCUACAAUGGCGGUGACAAUGGGAUGCUAAGGGGCGACCCUUCGCAAAUCUC